AGGGGGGCAUCACCAUGGACGGUGAACAAAAAUCGAAAACUGUCAUGGAGUUGCUCUCUUAA
Molecule: microRNA precursor, 62 nt
Filed under: Ptychodera flava
Lineage: Eukaryota; Metazoa; Hemichordata; Enteropneusta; Ptychoderidae
Description: Pfl-Mir-281_pre stem-loop
Source: RNAcentral